UCGGGUGACAGGGAGACAGGUGGUGCAUGGUUGUCGGUCAGCUCGUGUCGUGAGAUGUCGGGUUAAGUCCCGCAACGAGCGCAACCCCUACGUUUAGUUGCUAACAGGUGAAGCUGAGCACUCUAGACGAACUGCCGUUGACAAAACGGAGGAAGGUGGGGAUGACGUCAAAUCAUCAUGCCCCUUAUGUUCUGGGCUACACACGUGCUACAAUGGCCGGUACAGACGGAGGCGAAGCCGCGAGGCGGAGCAAAUCCGAAAAAGCCGGUCUCAGUUCGGAUUGCAGGCUGCAAUUCGCCUGCAUGAAGUCGGAAUCGCUAGUAAUCGCAGGUCAGCGUACUGCGGUGAAUACGUUCCCGGGCCUU
This 365-nucleotide ribosomal RNA is filed under the name uncultured Pelotomaculum sp. RNAcentral describes it as "bacterial SSU rRNA". It matches the Rfam family "Bacterial small subunit ribosomal RNA", at positions 1019 to 1382 of the family's 1533-position model. The record is from RNAcentral. Lineage: Bacteria; Bacillati; Bacillota; Clostridia; Eubacteriales; Desulfotomaculaceae.